GCGGAUGUCGUAUAAUGGUUUAUUAUCUCGGCCUUCCAAGCCGAUGACGCCGGUUCGAUUCCGGUCAUCCGCUCUA
Molecule: transfer RNA, 76 nt
Filed under: Candidatus Magasanikbacteria bacterium CG_4_10_14_0_2_um_filter_33_14
Lineage: Bacteria; Candidatus Magasanikiibacteriota
Description: tRNA-Gly
Rfam family: tRNA
About the family: Transfer RNA (tRNA) molecules are approximately 80 nucleotides in length. Their secondary structure includes four short double-helical elements and three loops (D, anti-codon, and T loops). Further hydrogen bonds mediate the characteristic L-shaped molecular structure. tRNAs have two regions of fundamental functional importance: the anti-codon, which is responsible for specific mRNA codon recognition, and the 3' end, to which the tRNAs corresponding amino acid is attached (by aminoacyl-tRNA synthetases). tRNAs cope with the degeneracy of the genetic code in two manners: having more than one tRNA (with a specific anti-codon) for a particular amino acid; and 'wobble' base-pairing, i.e. permitting non-standard base-pairing at the 3rd anti-codon position.
Source: RNAcentral